This 301-nucleotide ribosomal RNA is filed under the name uncultured bacterium. RNAcentral describes it as "partial 16S ribosomal RNA". It matches the Rfam family "Bacterial small subunit ribosomal RNA", at positions 509 to 807 of the family's 1533-position model. The record is from RNAcentral.
CAGUAGCCGCGGGAAAACGAAGGGGGCUAGCGUUGUUCGGAUUUACUGGGCGUAAAGGGCGCGUAGGCGGACUGAUAAGUCAGGGGUGAAAUCCCAAGGCUCAACCUUGGAACUGCCUUUGAUACUGUUUGUCUUGAGUUCGAGAGAGGUAAGUGGAACUGCGAGUGUAGAGGUGAAAUUCGUAGAUAUUCGCAAGAACACCAGUGGCGAAGGCGGCUUACUGGCUCGAAACUGACGCUGAGGCGCGAAAGCGUGGGGAGCAAACAGGAUUAGAUACCCCUGUAGUCCCUGUCUCUUAUAC